UUACGACCAUAUCACGUUGAAACACCGAUUCCUGUGGGAUCACCGAAGUUAAGCAACGUCGAGCCUAGUCAGUACGUAGAUGGGUGACCACUUGGGAAUACCAGAUACUGUAA
Molecule: non-coding RNA, 113 nt
Organism: Acanthosepion pharaonis
Lineage: Eukaryota; Metazoa; Mollusca; Cephalopoda; Sepiida; Sepiidae
Source: the annotation of a GenBank genome assembly